GCGCACGGGUGAGUAACACGUGAAUUAUCUACCUCCGAGUGGGGAAUAACCUAGAGAAAUCUGGGCGUAAUACCGCAUAACACUUACGAGUCAAAGCAGCGAUGCGCUUGGAGAGGAGUUCCGCGGCAGAUUAGUUAGUUGGCGGGGUAAUGGCCCACCAAGACGAUGAUCUGUAUCCGGCCUGAGAGGGCGCACGGACACACUGGAACUGAAACACGGUCCAGACUCCUACGGGAGGCAGCAGUGGGGAAUUUUGCGCAAUGGGGGAAACCCUGACGCAGCAACGCCGCGUGGAGGAUGAAGUAUCUCGGUACGUAAACUCCUUUCGAUGGGGAAGAUGAUGACGGUACCCAUAGAAGAAGCCCCGGUAACUUCGUGCCAGCAAGCCGCGGUAAUACGAGGGGGGCAAGCGUUGUUCGGAUUUAUUGGGCGUAAAGGGUGCGUAGGCGGUUUGGCAAGUCUUGUGUGAAAUCUAUGGGCUCAAACCCAUAGCCUGCACGAGAAACUACCGGGCUUGAGUGAUGGAAGAGGUGAGUGGAAUUUCCCGGUGUAGCGGUGAAAU
Molecule: ribosomal RNA, 562 nt
Filed under: uncultured bacterium
Lineage: Bacteria
Description: bacterial SSU rRNA
Rfam family: Bacterial small subunit ribosomal RNA
Source: RNAcentral